UGAGGAAUAUUGCGCAAUGGGGGCAACCCUGACGCAGCAACGCCGCGUGAGUGAGGAAGGUUUUCGGAUUGUAAAGCUCUGUCGAGCGGAAAGAAGUGCUUGGUGGUUAAUACCCAUCAGGCUUGACGGUACCGCUAAAGGAAGCACCGGCUAACUCCGUGCCAGCAGCCGCGGUAAUACGGGGGGUGCAAGCGUUGUUCGGAAUCAUUGGGCGUAAAGCGCGUGUAGGCGGCUUGACAAGUCAGAUGUGAAAUCCCUGGGCUUAACCCAGGAAGUGCAUUUGAAACUGUCUAGCUUGAGUAAGGGAGAGGAAAGUGGAAUUCCUGGUGUAGAGGUGAAAUUCGUAGAUAUCAGGAGGAACACCGGUGGCGAAGGCGACUUUCUGGCCCUAUACUGACGC
This 400-nucleotide ribosomal RNA is filed under the name uncultured bacterium. RNAcentral's name for it is "bacterial SSU rRNA". It matches the Rfam family "Bacterial small subunit ribosomal RNA", at positions 355 to 746 of the family's 1533-position model. The record is from RNAcentral.